RNAcentral lists this ribosomal RNA (1486 nucleotides) under uncultured bacterium. Its description in RNAcentral is "16S ribosomal RNA". It matches the Rfam family "Bacterial small subunit ribosomal RNA". The record is from RNAcentral.
AGAGUUUGAUCCUGGCUCAGGAUGAACGCUAGCGGGUGCGCCUAACGCAUGCAAGUCGAGCGGAGGAUACGCAAGUAUCCUUAGCGGCGAACGGGUGAGUAACACGUGGGUAAUCUACCGCAGUCCCGGGGAUACCCCUGCGAAAGUAGGGUUAAUACCUGAUAGUCUCCCCCUUAGGGGAGUAAAGGGAAUUACGGGUCUCCGAGGGAGCCUGCGUCCUAUCAGCUUGUUGGUAGAGUAAUAGCCUACCAAGGCGGAUGACGGGUAGCUGGUCUGAGAGGACGGCCCAGCCACACUGGGACUGAGACACGGCCCAGACUCCUACGGGAGGCAGCAGUGGGGAUCUUCCGCAAUGGGCGAAAGCCUGACGGAGCGACACCGCGUGGGGGACGAAGGUCUUCGGAUCGUAAACCCCUUUAAGGAGGGAAGAGCAAGGACGGUACCUCCUCAAAAAGCCACGGCUAACUGCGUGCCAGCAGCCGCGGUAAUACGUGGGUGGCGAGCGUUAUCCGGAUUUACUGGGCGUAAAGGGCCUGCAGGUGGUUCCUAAAGUCCCCGGUAAAAUCUUAAGGCCUAACCUUAAGAAGACUGGGGAUACUCAGGAGCUAGAGGAAAGGAGAGGGAAGUGGAAUUCCUGGUGGAGCGGUGAAAUGCGUAGAUAUCAGGAGAAACACCCAAGGCGAAGGCAGCUUCCUGGCCUUUUCCUGACACUCAGAGGCGAAAGCUGGGGGAGCAAACGGGAUUAGAUACCCCGGUAGUCCCAGCCCUAAACAUUGGUCACUUGGUGUGGGGGAGUAAUAUCCUCUGUGCGGAGGUAACCCGUUAAGUGACCCGCCUGGGGAGUACGGCCGCAAGGUUGAAACUCAAAGGAAUUGACGGGGGCCCGCACAAGCGGCGGAGCAUGUGGUUUAAUUCGAUGCUACCCGAAAAACCUUACCAGGGUUGGACAGAUAGGUAGUAGGGAACCGAAAGGGAAUCGACCCUCCCGUAAAGGGAGGGAGCCUAUCCAGGUGGUGCAUGGCUGUCGUCAGCUCGUGUCGUGAGAUGUUGGGUUAAGUCCCGCAACGAGCGCAACCCCCGUCCUUAGUUGCCACUUUAAGGUGCGAGCCUUAAGGGGCUCUCUAGGGAGACUGCCUGCGUAGAGCAGGAGGAAGGAGGGGAUGACGUCAAGUCCUCAUGCCCUUUAUGCCCUGGGCUACACACAUGCUACAAUGGGUGGUACAACGGGAGGCAAAGCCGUAAGGUGGAGCAAACCCCUUAAAACCAUCCUCAGUUCAGAUCGAGGGCUGCAACUCGCCCUCGUGAAGUCGGAGUCGCUAGUAACCGUGGAUCAGCAAGCCGCGGUGAAUACGUUCUCGGGCCUUGUACACACCGCCCGUCACGCCAACCGAAUGGAGGGCACCAGAAGUCGUCGGACCCAACCCGCAAGGGAGGGAGGCGCCGAAGGUGUGUUUCGUAAGGGGGGCGAAGUCGUAACAAGGUAACC